ACGGGGUGCAGCAGGCGCGAAAACUUUGCAAUAAGCGAAAGCUUGACAGGGCUAUCCCGAGUGCCAUCCGCUGAGGAAGGCUUUUACCCAGUCUAGAACGCUGGGGGAAUAAGGAGAGGGCAAGUCUGGUGUCAGCCGCCGCGGUAAUACCAGCUCUCCGAGUGGUGUGGAUGUUUAUUGGGCCUAAAGCAUCCGUAGCUGGCCAGGUGAGUCCCCUGUUAAAUCCACCGAAUUAAUCGUUGGAUUGCGGGGGAUACUGCUUGGCUAGGGGACGAGAGAGGCAGACGGUAUUUCCGGGGUAGGGGUGAAAUCCUAUAAUCCCGGGAAGACCACCAGUGGCGAAGGCUGUCUGCUAGAACGCGCCCGACGGUGAGGGAUGAAAGCUGGGGGAGCGAACCGGAUUAGAUACCCGGGUAGUCCCAGCUGUAAACGAUGCAGACUAGGUGUUUGGACGGCCACGUGCCGUUCUAGUGCCGCAGGGAAGCUGUUAAGUCUGCCGCCUGGGGAGUACGAUCGCAAGAUUGAAACUAAAGGAAUUGGCGGGGGAGCAC
RNAcentral lists this ribosomal RNA (551 nucleotides) under uncultured archaeon. Its description in RNAcentral is "bacterial SSU rRNA". It matches the Rfam family "Archaeal small subunit ribosomal RNA", at positions 325 to 879 of the family's 1478-position model. The record is from RNAcentral.